This 358-nucleotide transfer-messenger RNA is filed under the name Candidatus Hydrogenedentota bacterium. It matches the Rfam family "transfer-messenger RNA". From Rfam's summary of the family: Bacterial tmRNA, also known as 10Sa RNA or SsrA, is named for its dual tRNA and mRNA-like properties. Its role is to liberate the mRNA from a stalled ribosome. RNAcentral also lists the same sequence under 1 other name. The record is from RNAcentral. Lineage: Bacteria; Pseudomonadati; Candidatus Hydrogenedentota.
GGGGGCGACAUGGUCUCGACGGGGGUGGAUGAAACGUUGGUUGCGUGCCGAGGACUCCGGUGGCCUCGUAAAAAACCGGAACCCAAUUAACUGCGAACGAUCAACACGAUUUCGCAAUGGCUGCUUAAUUGCCGCCUCGUCUUACCCUUGACCACCUGCUAAGGGGCUAAGACGCACGACAGCGGGUCUCGCGUCGGAACGUCGGUGGAACGUCCGAUAGAGUAGGUUUCCCCCUAGCGGCCCUGGAUAGCGAGCCUCACGCGAUCCCGGGUGGCGAAUCUUAAAAGACGGGCUAUGCACGUAGACGCCUUCGUGGACACACUUUCGGACGCGGGUUCGAUUCCCGCCGCCUCCACCA